CCGGGUGCGUGGACGCAUUGGAGCAUCCGCGUGAGCCCCGAGCAGCAGCGCGAGGAGGCGCCCACCUGCACCUGCCUGCAUCUCUCAACUCCUCCGCCCUGUGCAACUGCCAGCAGCCAAGUGCCAUUAAAGCUGUUGGCCAAGAGGAUGCCUCACCUGGGUCCCCUCUGCUGGCAGAGGCAGGGCAAGGUAGAGGAGAAUUCCCAGUGAAGGACUCAGAACUCUGCGAUUUGAUUUCUUUUCUGCUACAGGCUGUGGAGCACACAAGGAACUGCUCCAUCUGAGCUGUGCCCAGGGCACGAGGAUGGGAGACAGGGAUUAAGAGUCACCGAAAUGGGCAGAGGCAGCUGGCAUCUCACUGGUACUAUUAGGAGAUCGCUGUUUAAUGCCAUUCAAGUCCUGCCAAGCAUCAUUUCUGUAUGACUACCACAAAAGGAUUACUUUACAGAGACUGCUGCCAUUUUGAAGAGUGUGAUUUGGACUCAGAUUCAGAAAACAGGAUCUUCUUCCAUGAGGAAACAUCAGUGUUGAUCACCACACUGGGAUCCAGAAGAGUCCAGUGACCAAGCAUGGCUUCCUCAUGGAGACUAAUUUUGUUCUUGUCUAUCACCAGGUGUCUGUCAGGUAAAAUGCAUGUCUAAUCAUUUGGUUUUUAUUAAUUCUCAGUUAAGAAAACUGUAUGAUGAUCUUCUCACAAAGUUUUGUUUAUGUUGGUUAUAAUUUAUGCUAAUACAGAUAUUGUUUCUUAGAACUAAGCAAGCUUGCCAACAUUGCAGAAUAUUCACAAAGCUCAAUAAUGAAGUACAUUAUAAAAA
Molecule: long non-coding RNA, 815 nt
Organism: Acomys russatus (golden spiny mouse)
Lineage: Eukaryota; Metazoa; Chordata; Mammalia; Rodentia; Muridae
Exons: 3
Source: RefSeq, a predicted model, not a curated record